CAGAGGAGAUAGUUUAUUGUCGCCAGUAGACCCAAACAAUAAGACAAAUUGCAAAAGAAACUCAGUCUGCUCCCAAAAGCAGAUACAUCCCAGCAGUCGAGUCACAGAGGGCCAUCUCAGUUUCUCUCCCCUUCCAACCACCCCUUCCAACCUCUCUAUAGCACACACAACCGAGAAAGUGCAUAUGUAGUUGGGUUUUCCCCUCCAAGUGCACAAAGCGCAAGAACAUUCCAAAAUUUGCCUUUGGUGAAUCAACUCAAAACACUGAGAAGUUAUUACACCUCCCCACACACACACAUUGUAACUUUUGGGGUGGGUGUGGUGAGAUGUUUGAUAUUUGUAUAUAUAAUAUAUCUAUACCUAGAGAGAGAGACUAUGUACAGUGCAUCAGCAAGCUUCAAUAAAGGAAGACGCCAGCAAGAGGCACAGCAAGAGACACAGGCUGUCCAUCUUUAAGACAUAAGUAGGAAGGAAGAUUUCUUGCUUCAUCACCCAUUAACUGCACCAAGCCAUUCCUAUGGCCUGGAACUAUCCUUUUGGACCUGCCCAGUAUUUUCAAUUGUCUGUCUGCUUAACCUGACCUUGCAAAUAUUUACCAGCCCAACCUCCCCAAGGAGACUCGCAGAGAGAAACAUGGAUCCGAUCAGCUUUUCCUUUUUAUAAACUGGAAAUAACUGUGAAGAGUCCAUAGCUAGGGGGCAGAUAGCUAUUUCCAAAGCCAGUUCCAAGGCACCUCAAAGCAGUUCAGUCCUGAAUAAUUGUGCUUUGUUCUUAUAAGCUAAAUCCCAUGGGUUAGCCAGCCCGUCUCUCUUUGCAGUGGCCCUUAGUUAGGAGGAAGAGACAGAUGGGGGGUGGGGGCAGAGGGAGGUUCUGAGAGAGCAGGAGAGGCUGGGGCAGUUGAGAAAGUCAGCCGACUAAAACCAGCAGAGCGUCGUGGUGGGAACAUGCAACCAGAAGUGGGGCUCGAACCCCACGGUAGGAAGAGGAAGAACUUGUCAGCAUAAGGUAGGAAACAGGGUAGAGAAAUGGCCGCUGUGGAAACAUCUCUCUGGUUUUCCACCUCUACUUACAGAAGCCCCAACUUCACCAUCCUGGGGGAGGCAGCUCUAUGAGUCCUCUGGAGGAGAUUCUAAGAGGCUCCAGAAGAAAAUGCAUAUGAGGGCUGAGCACCUGGGACAGAGAUGGCUCCAGAAGAAAAUGCAUAUGAGGGCUGAGCACCUGGGACAGAGAUGGUUCCUGACCCAGCCCCAUCUGCUGGGGCCCUGAGGCCCGUGAAGAGACAUUGCUUUUCCUGGGCCCCAGUUGAUCAGGGCAGAGGAAAAAAAGACUCCAGGAAUCUUGGGCUUCUUGAUGGAGAGUUAGAACUUCUUAGAAUACACUAGGAAAGCCCGCAAAUAAUUCCCCUAAAUGUUAUGGAUCCUGGAAAAAGCUAAGUUCCCAACAUCAGCACAGCUCCUCACUCAUCCUGGGAGAGAAGGACACUUAAAGGGUGACCAAAAAAAUGAAAUCUGCAAGCUGCAGAAAUGUAUACAACCACUCUUGGUCUCAGCUGGCAUGAGGUGCCCGCCACCCACCUCUCUGCCCCCAGCUGGCUGGCUCGAGGAUGGGCAGCGUCCAUCUGCUGCAGGCAUCCUGGUGGCUUAGCCCACCCGCAUUGGCAGUGUGUUGAUUGGCAGUUAGGUACUGAGCUGAUGAGUUUAGCAUUUCCAGAUGGGCUUGACUCGCUCACCUCACCCAGGUGUUACCAGGCUGGUUGCCCAUCCCCCACUCUGCACCCACUCUGCCUGGCCUCUGCGCCCUUGACCCUGUUGUAUUGCCCCUCUUCCCUGCUGUUUCUCCCUUCCCAGGGCACGGAUUCUAGAAUCUCUUCAUCUUCCCCAACUGUAGCCUUGGAAGCAGUGUCUUGCAGAGGUGGAAUUAGUUGCACCAAAAAGUUAAUCUUGGUCCCUACAGUGCCAACCUGGCAGUCCCCAGUGCUUAUGGCUUUGUGUAUAUCCCCAGUGCCCGGCACAGUGCCUGGCACAUAAUAGAUGCUCAAUAAAUGGUUGCUGAAUUGAAGCAAAUUAAGCUGAAUCUCCCAGAUGAUAUUGCUGUCUCCCCAAAUUGGCAAUCUGAUGGGCAGAGGCAGGGAUUGGUCCCUGAGACUGUCACGGUCCUGUCUCCACCCCCUUUCCUAGACUUAUUCCCUACCCUGGGCACCUGACUCCCUGAGCAGGGGUGGGGCAGAGCUCCUGGAAAGGCUGGGAAGUGCUGGGGCAGGGAAUGGGGCAUUUGCCAGCAGCUGUGCCCUUCACACUUGCUCCCUCCCUCCCUGCUUCCCUCCACUCCUCCUCAGUCCUGGCCAGAGGGGCUGGGCUCCUGGGAGAGGGGCAGGGCUAGAGAAGCCCACCCCUCCAACUCGCCCCAUCAUGGACCAGGCCACAGAGGCCCCUCCCACUGGGAAAAUGAUGGCUCUGUUGCUUCAAACUGGAGACCGAGGAGCCAGAGAAGAGGGCAGGACCCUCAGUUUCUGUCAGUUGGAACCUCAGUUUCCCCAUUUUAAGUGAGUGACUUGGCUAGUUGAUCUCUGAGGAUCUUCCAAGGUCAUGGUCUCAGAGUCAGUGUUUCUGCCUCUUGCUCCUUCUCUCAGGCCUAAUCAAUUUCCAUUGAAUGUGAGUGUAAUGGCAGUGAUGGUUGGCUCCCCACAAUUGCCUUUUUUUUUUUUUUUUUUUUAGAGAUGGAGUCUCUCUAUGUCACCCAGGCUGAAUUGCAGUGGCACUAUCACUAUCUCAGUUCACUGCAACCUCCGCUUCCCGGGCUCAAGCGAUUCUCCUGCCUCAGCCUCCCAAAUAGCUGGGAUUACAGGCACACGCCACCACACCCAGCUAAUUCUUGUAUUUUUAGUAGAGAUGGGGUUUUGCCCAUUUCUACUAAACAGAUGGAGGUAAUCCACCCGCCUUGGCCUCCCAAAGUGCUGGGAUUACAGGCGUGAGCCACUGUGCCUGGCCUACAAUUGUCACUUUUAUCCCCACGAAGGGAGUUGUUGGGAGAGGAGCAAGUAGCGUGGCCGCAGAUGGGACAGGGCUGGCAUUGGCGGCUCAGGUUCCAAGGCCUCCCCUCAUGCUGGCCUCAGGCUUUCCCUUCCCUCUCUGUAGCCAAAAGCCAGGUGGAAACCCCACCAAGGGCAACUGGGAGAGUUCUCACUGAAGCCCCAAAGAAAGCUGCCCCACCCUGUGCAUGGCCUCCUCAUUUCCCAGCCUUGGCUGCCCCUGCCCAGGCGAGGGUGGUUACCCCAUGGAGAAGGCAGAGCCUGCAGCAACCUGCAUUCACCAUGGAGCCCCACCCCUCAGCCCCUCAGCUGACUUUGAAACUGGCCUCUGUUGGUGGGUCCCCGCUGGGAAACAUGGCCCCCUACCUGGAGCUGCUCUUCCAGUCUGGCCUCAUCCACAGUCCUAAGGGAUUAGGAGCCAACGGGAGCCCCAAGGAGGCCACUAGCAAUGGAAAUGAGGGCCCAACAUGGCCUCCUGGGCCAGGGCACAUGUCCAGCUCUGCCUGCAGCCCUGGCUUUCCGUCAGUGCCCUGGAAUGCACAGUCAUCCCCUUUAACAUGCCCCUCCAAGUUUCAGGAACUCAUCC
This 3614-nucleotide long non-coding RNA is filed under the name Pan troglodytes (chimpanzee). Its description in RNAcentral is "long non-coding RNA NONPTRT002870". The record is from RNAcentral. Lineage: Eukaryota; Metazoa; Chordata; Mammalia; Primates; Hominidae.